GAUGAACGCUGGCAGCGUGCCUAAUACAUGCAAGUCGAGCGAACGGACGAGAAGCUUGCUUCUCUGAUGUUAGCGGCGGACGGGUGAGUAACACGUGGAUAACCUACCUAUAAGACUGGGAUAACUUCGGGAAACCGGAGCUAAUACCGGAUAAUAUUUUGAACCGCAUGGUUCAAAAGUAAAAGACGGUCUUGCUGUCACUUAUAGAUGGAUCCGCGCUGCAUUAGCUAGUUGGUAAGGUAACGGCUUACCAAGGCAACGAUGCAUAGCCGACCUGAGAGGGUGAUCGGCCACACUGGAACUGAGACACGGUCCAGACUCCUACGGGAGGCAGCAGUAGGGAAUCUUCCGCAAUGGGCGAAAGCCUGACGGAGCAACGCCGCGUGAGUGAUGAAGGUCUUCGGAUCGUAAAACUCUGUUAUUAGGGAAGAACAUAUGUGUAAGUAACUGUGCACAUCUUGACGGUACCUAAUCAGAAAGCCACGGCUAACUACGUGCCAGCAGCCGCGGUAAUACGUAGGUGGCAAGCGUUAUCCGGAAUUAUUGGGCGUAAAGCGCGCGUAGGCGGUUUUUUAAGUCUGAUGUGAAGCCCACGGCUCAACCGUGGAGGGUCAUUGGAAACUGGAAAACUUGAGUGCAGAGAGGGAAAGUGGAAUUCCAUGUGUAGCGGUGAAAUGCGCAGAGAUAUGGAGGAACACCAGUGGCGAAGGCGACUUUCUGGUCUGUAACUGACGCUGAUGCGCGAAAGCGUGGGGAUCAAACAGGAUUAGAUACCCUGGUAGUCCACGCCGUAAACGAUGAGUGCUAAGUGUUAGGGGGUUUCCGCCCCUUAGUGCUGCAGCUAACGCAUUAAGCACUCCGCCUGGGGAGUACGACCGCAAGGUUGAAACUCAAAGGAAUUGACGGGGACCCGCACAAGCGGUGGAGCAUGUGGUUUAAUUCGAAGCAACGCGAAGAACCUUACCAAAUCUUGACAUCCUUUGACAACUCUAGAGAUAGAGCCUUCCCCUUCGGGGGACAAAGUGACAGGUGGUGCAUGGUUGUCGUCAGCUCGUGUCGUGAGAUGUUGGGUUAAGUCCCGCAACGAGCGCAACCCUUAAGCUUAGUUGCCAUCAUUAAGUUGGGCACUCUAAGUUGACUGCCGGUGACAAACCGGAGGAAGGUGGGGAUGACGUCAAAUCAUCAUGCCCCUUAUGAUUUGGGCUACACACGUGCUACAAUGGACAAUACAAAGGGCAGCGAAACCGUGAGGUCAAGCAAAUCCCAUAAAGUUGUUCUCAGUUCGGAUUGUAGUCUGCAACUCGACUACAUGAAGCUGGAAUCGCUAGUAAUCGUAGAUCAGCAUGCUACGGUGAAUACGUUCCCGGGUCU
Molecule: ribosomal RNA, 1371 nt
Filed under: uncultured bacterium
Lineage: Bacteria
Description: bacterial SSU rRNA
Rfam family: Bacterial small subunit ribosomal RNA
Source: RNAcentral